UGGCUCAGAUGGUAAAGCAUCUGUCUACAAUGCAGGGGACCCAGGUUCGAUCCCUGG
RNAcentral lists this transfer RNA (57 nucleotides) under Ovis aries (sheep). It matches the Rfam family "tRNA", at positions 8 to 63 of the family's 71-position model. Rfam says of the family: Transfer RNA (tRNA) molecules are approximately 80 nucleotides in length. Their secondary structure includes four short double-helical elements and three loops (D, anti-codon, and T loops). Lineage: Eukaryota; Metazoa; Chordata; Mammalia; Artiodactyla; Bovidae. The record is from Rfam by way of RNAcentral.